This 381-nucleotide ribosomal RNA is filed under the name uncultured Acidimicrobiales bacterium. RNAcentral's name for it is "bacterial SSU rRNA". It matches the Rfam family "Bacterial small subunit ribosomal RNA", at positions 998 to 1378 of the family's 1533-position model. Lineage: Bacteria; Bacillati; Actinomycetota; Acidimicrobiia; Acidimicrobiales. The record is from RNAcentral.
CCGUAGAGAUACGGUGUGCAUUAGCGUCCAUACAGGUGGUGCAUGGCUGUCGUCAGCUCGUGUCGUGAGAUGUUGGGUUAAGUCCCGCAACGAGCGCAACCUUGUCCUAUGUUGCCAGCGGUUCGGCCGGGGACGUCAUAGGAGACUGCCGGGGAUAACUCGGAGGAAGGUGAGGACGACGGUCAAGUCAUCAUGCCCCUUAUGUCCAGGGCGUGCACGCAUGCUACAAUGGUCGGUACAACGGGCUGCGAUCCCGCGAGGGUGAGCGAAUCCCUUAAAACCGGCCUCAGUUCGGAUUGGAGUCUGCAACUCGACUCCAUGAAGUCGGAGUCGCUAGUAAUCGCGGAUCAGCAAAGCCGCGGUGAAUGCGUUCUCGGGAUU